UGGGGAAUUUUGGACAAUGGGCGAAAGCCUGAUCCAGCAAUGCCGCGUGUGUGAAGAAGGCCUUCGGGUUGUAAAGCACUUUUGUCCGGAAAGAAAUCCUUGGCUCUAAUACAGUCGGGGGAUGACGGUACCGGAAGAAUAAGCACCGGCUAACUACGUGCCAGCAGCCGCGGUAAUACGUAGGGUGCAAGCGUUAAUCGGAAUUACUGGGCGUAAAGCGUGCGCAGGCGGUUUGCUAAGACCGAUGUGAAAUCCCCGGGCUCAACCUGGGAACUGCAUUGGUGACUGGCAGGCUAGAGUAUGGCAGAGGGGGGUAGAAUUCCACGUGUAGCAGUGAAAUGCGUAGAGAUGUGGAGGAAUACGAUGGCGAAGGCAGCCCCCUGGGCCAAAUACUGACGCUCAUGCACGAAAGCGUGGGGAGCAAACAGGAUUAGAUACCCUGGUAGUCCACGCCCUAAACGAUGUCAACUAGUUGUUGGGGAUUCAUUUCCUUAGUAACGUAGCUAACGCGUGAAGUUGACCGCCUGGGGAGUACGGUCGCAAGAUUAAAACUUAAAUGAAUUGACGGGG
This 570-nucleotide ribosomal RNA is filed under the name uncultured bacterium. Its description in RNAcentral is "partial 16S ribosomal RNA". It matches the Rfam family "Bacterial small subunit ribosomal RNA", at positions 355 to 918 of the family's 1533-position model. The record is from RNAcentral.